AACGAACGCUGGCGGCAGGCCUAACACAUGCAAGUCGUGCGCGCCUUCGGGUGAGCGGCGGACGGGUGAGUAACGCGUGGGAACGUGCCCUUUAGCUCAGGAUAGCCCCGGGAAACUGGGAGUAAAACUGGAUACGCCCUUCGGGGGAAUAAAGGAUCGGCCCGCGUUAGAUUAGGUAGUUGGUGCGGUAACGGCGCACCAAGCCUACGAUCUAUAGCUGGUUUUAGAGGAUGAUCAGCCACACUGGGACUGAGACACGGCCCAGACUCCUACGGGAGGCAGCAGUGGGGAAUCUUAGACAAUGGGGGCAACCCUGAUCUAGCCAUGCCGCGUGAGUGAUGAAGGCCUUAGGGUCGUAAAGCUCUUUCGCCAGGGAUGAUAAUGACAGUACCUGGUAAAGAACCCCGGCUAACUCCGUGCCAGCGCCGCGGUAA
RNAcentral lists this ribosomal RNA (434 nucleotides) under uncultured bacterium. RNAcentral describes it as "bacterial SSU rRNA". It matches the Rfam family "Bacterial small subunit ribosomal RNA", at positions 29 to 523 of the family's 1533-position model. The record is from RNAcentral.